This 107-nucleotide small nuclear RNA is filed under the name Moschus moschiferus (Siberian musk deer). The record is from RNAcentral. Lineage: Eukaryota; Metazoa; Chordata; Mammalia; Artiodactyla; Moschidae.
GUGCUUGCUUUGGCAGCACAUAUAGUAAAAUUGGAAUGAUACAGAGAAGAUUAGCAUGGCCCCUGUGCAAGGAUGACAUGCAAAUUCCUGACGCAUUCCAUAUUUUU